RNAcentral lists this ribosomal RNA (786 nucleotides) under Psychrobacter sp. Y4_284_4. Its description in RNAcentral is "bacterial SSU rRNA". It matches the Rfam family "Bacterial small subunit ribosomal RNA", at positions 63 to 842 of the family's 1533-position model. The record is from RNAcentral. Lineage: Bacteria; Pseudomonadati; Pseudomonadota; Gammaproteobacteria; Moraxellales; Moraxellaceae.
CGAGCGGUAACAUUUCUAGCUUGCUAGAAGAUGACGAGCGGCGGACGGGUGAGUAAUACUUAGGAAUCUACCUAGUAGUGGGGGAUAGCUCGGGGAAACUCGAAUUAAUACCGCAUACGACCUACGGGAGAAAGGGGGCAACUUGUUGCUCUCGCUAUUAGAUGAGCCUAAGUCGGAUUAGCUAGAUGGUGGGGUAAAGGCCUACCAUGGCGACGAUCUGUAGCUGGUCUGAGAGGAUGAUCAGCCACACCGGGACUGAGACACGGCCCGGACUCCUACGGGAGGCAGCAGUGGGGAAUAUUGGACAAUGGGGGAAACCCUGAUCCAGCCAUGCCGCGUGUGUGAAGAAGGCCUUUUGGUUGUAAAGCACUUUAAGCAGUGAAGAAGACUCUUCGGUUAAUACCCGGAGACGAUGACAUUAGCUGCAGAAUAAGCACCGGCUAACUCUGUGCCAGCAGCCGCGGUAAUACAGAGGGUGCAAGCGUUAAUCGGAAUUACUGGGCGUAAAGCGAGCGUAGGUGGCUUGAUAAGUCAGAUGUGAAAUCCCCGGGCUUAACCUGGGAACUGCAUCUGAUACUGUCAGGCUAGAGUAGGUGAGAGGAAGGUAGAAUUCCAGGUGUAGCGGUGAAAUGCGUAGAGAUCUGGAGGAAUACCGAUGGCGAAGGCAGCCUUCUGGCAUCAUACUGACACUGAGGCUCGAAAGCGUGGGUAGCAAACAGGAUUAGAUACCCUGGUAGUCCACGCCGUAAACGAUGUCUACUAGUCGUUGGGUCCCUUGAGGACUUA